GGGGUUGUGGCUCAGUGGUAGAGCACCUGCCUUGCAUGUGAGAGGCACUGGGUUCAAUUCUCAGCACCA
Molecule: transfer RNA, 69 nt
Filed under: Ictidomys tridecemlineatus (thirteen-lined ground squirrel)
Lineage: Eukaryota; Metazoa; Chordata; Mammalia; Rodentia; Sciuridae
Description: Spermophilus tridecemlineatus (thirteen-lined ground squirrel) tRNA
Rfam family: tRNA
About the family: Transfer RNA (tRNA) molecules are approximately 80 nucleotides in length.
Source: Rfam by way of RNAcentral